RNAcentral lists this ribosomal RNA (253 nucleotides) under uncultured bacterium. RNAcentral's name for it is "partial 16S ribosomal RNA". It matches the Rfam family "Bacterial small subunit ribosomal RNA", at positions 524 to 776 of the family's 1533-position model. The record is from RNAcentral.
UACGUAGGGGGCAAGCGUUAUCCGGAUUUGCUGGGUGUAAAGGGAGCGUAGACGGCAGCGCAAGUCUGGAGUGAAAUGCCGGGGCUCAACCCCGGAACUGCUUUGGAAACUGUGCAGCUAGAGUGCGGGAGAGGUAAGCGGAAUUCCUAGUGUAGCGGUGAAAUGCGUAGAUAUUAGGAGGAACACCAGUGGCGAAGGCGGCUUACUGGACCGUAACUGACGUUGAGGCUCGAAAGCGUGGGGAGCAAACAGG